AAGUGAUAGUGGAACGACACUGGAAAGGUCGACGAAACAGGGGUGAAAGUCCCGUACACAAAAUUGCGAGCAAUCCAUCAGUAUCCUGAGUACUGCGGGGCACGCUAACCCCUGCAGGAAACUGGGAGGCCCACCUCCCAAGGCUAAAUACUCUUGAAGACCGAUAGUGAACAAGUACCGUGAGGGGAAAGGUGAAAAGCACCCCUGUUAGGGGAGUGAAAUAGAACCUGAAACCGUGCGCUUACAAGCAGUCAAAAGCCCUAUGCCGCAAGGCAGGGUGAUGGCGUGCCUCUUGGAGAAUGAGCCGACGAGUUACUCUCAGUAGCAAGGUUAAGGCAGAAACAGCCGCAGCCAUAGCGAAAGCGUAGUCUGAAUAGGGGCGUUAAGUUGCUGGGAGUAGACCCGAAACUGGGGUGAGCUAUCCAUGGCCAGGUUGAAGCGGGAGUAUAUCUCGUGGAGGACCGAA
RNAcentral lists this ribosomal RNA (466 nucleotides) under uncultured bacterium. RNAcentral describes it as "bacterial LSU rRNA". It matches the Rfam family "Bacterial large subunit ribosomal RNA", at positions 324 to 778 of the family's 2925-position model. The record is from RNAcentral.